UUCNGCCUUAUUAACAUUCAGCAAGCAUGC
Molecule: non-coding RNA, 30 nt
Filed under: Mus musculus (house mouse)
Lineage: Eukaryota; Metazoa; Chordata; Mammalia; Rodentia; Muridae
Source: RNAcentral